This 253-nucleotide ribosomal RNA is filed under the name uncultured microorganism. RNAcentral's name for it is "partial 16S ribosomal RNA". It matches the Rfam family "Bacterial small subunit ribosomal RNA", at positions 524 to 776 of the family's 1533-position model. The record is from RNAcentral.
UACGGAGGGGGCAAGCGUUGUUCGGAGUUACUGGGCGUAAAGCGCGCGUAGGCGGUGCGGUAAGUCAGGGGUUAAAGGCUGCAGCUCAACUGCAGUAAGGCCUUUGAUACUAUCGUGCUAGAGUGUCAGAGAGGAUGGCGGAAUUCCCGGUGUAGGGGUGAAAUCCGUAGAUAUCGGGAGGAACACCGGUGGCGAAAGCGGCUCUCUGGACUGUAACUGACGCUCAUGCACGAAAGCGUGGGGAGCAAACAGG